RNAcentral lists this long non-coding RNA (1556 nucleotides) under Polistes fuscatus (common paper wasp). RNAcentral's name for it is "uncharacterized LOC122516346". Lineage: Eukaryota; Metazoa; Arthropoda; Insecta; Hymenoptera; Vespidae. The record is from RNAcentral.
AAUUUUUCUUCUCCAAAAAUUUUACAAUAUGACCGAUUCAUCUAAGCGAUUUAAAUGAAAUAAAGAAAAUAUUUGUGUCACUUGUAGGAAUUAUCGGAACGAAGAAAUCUGAAUUCAGAGAUGUACAACCACAUAUACGCCGUGCUUAAAAUAUCCUCGGCGAAAGUGAUACCGUCGCGCGAUGAAUUAUGAAUACCAUUUUCAUACACAUCCGCCUGUGUCAACACUGUUUCGUAGUAUAAAGCAACUUGACGAUGUACUAUACUUUGCAUAUGAUGCACGGCCACGUUUUUCUUUUCACCGUGUGAGAAUACUCGGAGAGUACCGCGAGACAGACGUUUAUGCUACGAUGUUGGGGAUAACAAUGAGACAGGAAAGAAAUAAAGAAAAAAAAAAAAGAAAGAGGGUAGGGAAUGGGGGUGAAAUUUUAGAACGAGUUUCGGUGAGAGUGAUUUACACCUUGGAAAAACUCUCUGACAUUUACGAUACCUACUCGCGAAUUAUUUAUAGCGGUUACCCGUGACGAUGUGUAACCCUCAAACUAUACUUUUUUACUCCUUUAUUCGCUUUCUUUCUUUUCAUAAGACGACACGACGACAUAUCUUAACGAUAUCAAUAUAUUUUUAUAUAUCUACAAUCUAAUAUCCAGAGUCAAUAAAAUCCGAUAGAAUUUUGUCGAAAAUUCUUUGAUCUUUUCCCUGAUAACUUAUCUGUGAGAUAUAAAAAAAUAUAUCACCUGACAAGUACCAUCGCCUUGUUGGCUAUUAUUUUGUACGUCCUUGACAUUAAUAUUGUAUAAUAGUUUAACUAUUUAUAUAUGUAGGUGGAGCUUUAAUUAAUUUUAAUCUCGAAGUCUCGGAAGAAGAUUCGCUUAGACACCUAUUUAUUUAGCGAACAUAACAAACAAUCGAGCACAGCUUAGAAAUCGAAUCUCUUCGCUAAGAAACGUUCGCCAAGUCUUGUUUAACUUGCACAUGAGCUACGCAAGCGCCAGAAGGAGCUUAUAAGCUUUUUCCCUCCUUACUCUUCCUUCUCUUCAUCUUUCUCUUCUUUCCAUCUCUCUCUCUCUCUCUCUCUUUCUCUAUCUAUCUAUCUCUUUUCCGCUGCCUAUUGAAAACUAUUAUGCACUCAAAGUCCUCUACGGUUUUAGACAGAGUGUGCACAUAAAGGUGUAUUUAAAAUAAAAUAACUUUAUGUACGAUUGGCAAAGAGCUUCGAAAAAGCUACUAUGAUUGCCAGUGUUUUACGAUAGUUUGACUACUCGUGGGCUCAUCAUGAUGGACGAAAUUCCACCGAAGACUCUGUACGUCGGCAAUCUAGAUCACAGUGUUUCUGAAGAUUUGUUGUGUGCGCUGUUCUCGCAAAUCGGUGUUGUCAGAGGCUGCAAAAUCAUCCGAGAGUCUUUGUUCCAGCAGUAGACGGCGGCGACUUCGUAGUUACGACCCUUAGCACGCCAUUAUUGCGAGAUACCGUAGCGUAUUAUCGCUGGCACCUUGAUGGUCCUUAAUAGUUGCAAAGAAAAGCUUUCGAAGACAAGGAUCGAAGUAUAACGUAAA